GUGAGGAAUAUUGGUCAAUGGACGAAAGUCUGAACCAGCCAAGUAGCGUGCAGGAUGACGGCCCUAUGGGUUGUAAACUGCUUUUAUACAGGGAUAAAGUGAGCCACGUGUGGUUUUUUGUAGGUACUGUAUGAAUAAGGACCGGCUAAUUCCGUGCCAGCAGCCGCGGUAAUACGGAAGGUCCGGGCGUUAUCCGGAUUUAUUGGGUUUAAAGGGAGCGCAGGCUGAUGAUUAAGCGUGACGUGAAAUGUAGCCGCUCAACGGCUGAACUGCGUCGCGAACUGGUUAUCUUGAGUGAGUUCGAUGUUGGCGGAAUUCGUGGUGUAGCGGUGAAAUGCUUAGAUAUCACGAAGAACUCCGAUUGCGAAGGCAGCCAACAAGGCCUUUACUGACGCUAAAGCUCGAAGGUGCGGGUAUCGAACAGG
RNAcentral lists this ribosomal RNA (425 nucleotides) under uncultured rumen bacterium. RNAcentral's name for it is "bacterial SSU rRNA". It matches the Rfam family "Bacterial small subunit ribosomal RNA", at positions 354 to 776 of the family's 1533-position model. The record is from RNAcentral.